Molecule: ribosomal RNA, 607 nt
Filed under: Bacillus subtilis
Lineage: Bacteria; Bacillati; Bacillota; Bacilli; Caryophanales; Bacillaceae
Description: bacterial SSU rRNA
Rfam family: Bacterial small subunit ribosomal RNA
Source: RNAcentral
AAGUACCGUUCGAAUAGGGCGGUACCUUGACGGUACCUAACCAGAAAGCCACGGCUAACUACGUGCCAGCAGCCGCGGUAAUACGUAGGUGGCAAGCGUUGUCCGGAAUUAUUGGGCGUAAAGGGCUCGCAGGCGGUUUCUUAAGUCUGAUGUGAAAGCCCCCGGCUCAACCGGGGAGGGUCAUUGGAAACUGGGGAACUUGAGUGCAGAAGAGGAGAGUGGAAUUCCACGUGUAGCGGUGAAAUGCGUAGAGAUGUGGAGGAACACCAGUGGCGAAGGCGACUCUCUGGUCUGUAACUGACGCUGAAGAGCGAAAGCGUGGGGAGCGAACAGGAUUAGAUACCCUGGUAGUCCACGCCGUAAACGAUGAGUGCUAAGUGUUAGGGGGUUUCCGCCCCUUAGUGCUGCAGCUAACGCAUUAAGCACUCCGCCUGGGGAGUACGGUCGCAAGACUGAAACUCAAAGGAAUUGACGGGGGCCCGCACAAGCGGUGGAGCAUGUGGUUUAAUUCGAAGCAACGCGAAGAACCUUACCAGGUCUUGACAUCCUCUGACAAUCCUAGAGAUAGGACGUCCCCUUCGGGGGCAGAGUGACAGGUGGUGCAUGG